AAUGUCCCUCCUCCUUAAAAUUGAUAUCAGUUCAUUAGGUUUUUCCCUUGGACCUCCUCCACUCAAAUCUCUAUGGACCCACACUUACUCCUAUGUCAGAUUUUUUUUAUCGCUAAAAUUUUCAGUGACGUCUCAUUUCCCUCAAGUGUGUUCUUAAAAUAUCAAAUUUUGCAGCAAAUUUCAGAGAGGAAUAAGAAACGCCAAUGAGUUUAAAUUUCAAGCACAUAAUAUUUCAGAAUUCCUUUUGGGAUUGACUAUUGCUUGGUACAGUGCUACCUGUUUGAUUGACUGAGAGUUUGACACAAGCUUUUUGCAGUAUGAAGAUAAGUUCGUGGAAAGCGGAAAGAAAGAUAUUGUCAAAUGAAGCAGCCUAUAGGGAAAAUGAUACAGAGAUCCAGUUGGUGAAGGAAGGUGUUUUAAGGCAAUUUCAUCAAUAAAGCUAUAAAGUUGGGACGAACAUCUCAAAAUUUGUUCUGCUUAAAACAAGUGAAGCGCACAAGAUAGGAGAAAAAAAUUAUGAUUAAAUUACAAUUUAUUUUUCAAGAUAGUCAAAUCAUUGUCAUAAAUUGAUUAUAUUUGUGCAAAAUAUUUGUCCUGAGUUGUCUUCUGAUUAAUA
This is a long non-coding RNA of Solanum dulcamara, 616 nucleotides long. RefSeq lists it as uncharacterized. The transcript has 3 exons. The record is from RefSeq and is a predicted model, not a curated record. NCBI's taxonomy places the organism in Eukaryota, Viridiplantae, Streptophyta, Magnoliopsida, Solanales, Solanaceae.